UCCCCUAGUAACUGCGAGUGAAGCGGGAAAAGCUCAAAUUUAAAAUCUGGUAGUCUUUGGCUGCCCGAGUUGUAAUCUAGAGAAGCAUUAUCCGCGCUGGACCGUGUACAAGUUCCCUGGAAUGGGGCAUCAUAGAGGGUGAGAAUCCCGUCUUUGACACGGACUACCAGGGCUUUGUGAUGUGCUCUCAAAGAGUCGAGUUGUUUGGGAAUGCAGCUCUAAAUGGGUGGUAAAUUCCAUCUAAAGCUAAAUAUUGGCGAGAGACCGAUAGCGAACAAGUACCGUGAGGGAAAGAUGAAAAGAACUUUGGAAAGAGAGUUAAACAGUACGUGAAAUUGUUGAAAGGGAAACGCUUGAAGUCAGUCGCGUUGGCUGAGGAUCAACCUUGCUUUUGCUUGGUGUACUUCUCAGUUGACGGGUCAGCAUCAAUUUUGACCAGUGGAUAAAGGUCAGGGGAAUGUGGCACCUUCGGGUGUGUUAUAGCCCUUGGUCGUAUACAUUGGUUGGGAUUGAGGAACUCAGCACGCCGCAAGGCCGGGUCUUUGACCACGUUCGUGCUUAGGAUGCUGGCAUAAUGGCUUUAAUCGACCC
RNAcentral lists this ribosomal RNA (591 nucleotides) under Praearthromyces corneri. RNAcentral's name for it is "partial large subunit ribosomal RNA". It matches the Rfam family "Eukaryotic large subunit ribosomal RNA", at positions 76 to 650 of the family's 3401-position model. The record is from RNAcentral. Lineage: Eukaryota; Fungi; Basidiomycota; Agaricomycetes; Agaricales; Lyophyllaceae.